GCUUCGCUUUCUUGUUUUUACUGUAGUGAAACUCUCGUACAAUGUGACACACGAGUUUAUCAGCGACACGCGUUAGUGACCGUGACGGCCAUACUGAAAUUACGUCACAAGGAGAUCGCGGAAUUGUUCAAAGUGGGAAAACAAACGUGUGGUGUCGCUUCGCGACACGGUCGGUCGCUGGUGGCGCCAAACGUUUGACGAAUCAACAUAACCUAAUCGAGUGUACGCGGUCGCAUUUUUUACAACGUUUAUACACUUCAUUGCCGACGGAGCUUUGGACGUUGGGACACGAAUCAGACAGCACCGCGUACGUUUUAUAUAGAAAUUUUAACCAAAAACGUACAAGUAGAAUAUCAAAGCAACAUGAAAAUUAAUAGGCCGUGAAUGAAUCUCGUUCACAAAUAACCUAAAAAAUCUCACGAAGCGAAAUGAAAGUGAAUGGUUUCUGAGUUUUUAUUCGUUUAUACCAAAAGCCCACGAGUGCGAUCCACAAAAUAUUUCGAGGAUGAAAAAAUCGAUUAUUCUAAAAUAUUCUUGAUCACUUUAUUCGACUACUUUGCGGAGUCUGCAGGUGAGCAUUGUUUUUUGCACGAAUUUUCGGAAUUCUUCAACACUCGACAGGCUCAAAGCCGAAAGUGUCGUGAAGACGGCUGAAGUUGAAAACACAGUUUCAAGGAAUGAGAUCGAAUCGAAUCUUUGCUCGAUGCACCAAAAUAAAGCGUUUCACGCUCUCUGUUCGAGCGUAUCAAAAGCGUUUGGGAUUUCGGCAGAAAUUUAGCCGCCAUUUCUCGAAGCAUGAAAUUUUUUGACGACAUCCUGAUAAAAACCGCAUGAAAUUUUCGGACGUUCCAGAGCUGUUGGGUUGCCCAACGUGUCAGCACACACGACCGCACGUCACCGACCAAUCGAGCGUUUUUGCUGCCCCGAAACUCCACGCAGUAAUGGAAUCUCGCUAUGAAGACAGACGCUGGAAUUGCUUCGAAUGCGGAGGGAAAACCGAGAGUGCGAUUGAGGGUGCAAGUCAAAGAGGUACACAGAGCUUCGAUUAUGCUUCCCACUCCGUUUCCUGGGUAAACGUGAGCGCUCGUCUCCGUCGAUUGAGCGUAUUUGGGCCGUUCGAAGGAAGAAAAAGGUCCGAGGACUCGUACGAACGCGUGUGCCAACUUCGAAGGCGCGUAUUCAGUCGUUUACUUCGAAUCCUGGGAGUUUUGAUGCCGAAACUCGACGCUAAAUUGACGGACGAAAGUACAACGAGAUCUUCGGAGGGAGAUUCGGCUCGAAGUGCCCGAAGAAAAUCCACACUCGAGGGGGACGGAGCUCGAUCUUGGAGAACGCGGCGAAGAGGCCUUCCACUGUGAGAUCGAGGCCACCAGGAGCGUCGACCGGAAGCCAAGCUGUGCUUUUCGUAGUUUAGCAAAGUUUGCAAACUCUCUCGUUUGGCGGACCUCCCAAAAAGGAACGAGGGAGAGAUAAGCUUGUGCCGCGAAGCUCGCCGAGCUGGCGGAGGACUUUACAGAGCCGAGGGGCUCGAAACUUGAUCCUUGCACCGUGGAAAAGCCUCCGGGGAAGAUCGAAUUGGGAAGGGACGAGAGUGACGCGAAUCGGAGGAUCGUGGAACUGAGGAAACUCCAAAAUACCUUGCGAUCCGGAGUUGACCGUUGAUGUUUUUCGAGCAGAAUUUUUCAUCGGAAAUUUCAGUCGAUUAUUCGGAUGACAAAUGGGUAACAAGUCCAUCGAGUCAAGGUCGAAGCGAGGACUCCUCCGAGAUGAUGAAUCCGCAACGAAUGUCAAAAGGACGUCUUUGAACGAGAGAAUUUUCAACGUUGGAGAAAAACCUUUCCGAAGAGACGCAUCGAGACGCGAGCUGUCGGAAGCGACACACAUUUGUUCGUCUUUGAAAAAAACCCAGAGAAGACUGAAGAAAACGGGAGAUUCGCUGAGCGACGGAAAACGAUCGAGUCGUGGCUUCUCAGCGAAGGACAUAAAACGUGUUUGACCUGAUAUUCGGCUCAAUGGAACUCGCGUGCUCUAUUCCUCGUUGGAGAAACGAUUUUGCUACGGAAAUAAAUGACGAA
RNAcentral lists this long non-coding RNA (2075 nucleotides) under Venturia canescens. Its description in RNAcentral is "uncharacterized LOC122411277". Lineage: Eukaryota; Metazoa; Arthropoda; Insecta; Hymenoptera; Ichneumonidae. The record is from RNAcentral.